GGAAUAUUGCACAAUGGGGGAAACCCUGAUGCAGCCAUGCCGCGUGUGUGAAGAAGGCCUUCGGGUUGUAAAGCACUUUCAGCGAGGAGGAAAGGUUGGCGCCUAAUACGUGUCAAUUGUGACGUUACUCGCAGAAGAAGCACCGGCUAACUCCGUGCCAGCAGCCGCGGUAAUACGGAGGGUGCAAGCGUUAAUCGGAAUUACUGGGCGUAAAGCGCACGCAGGCGGUUGGA
This 233-nucleotide ribosomal RNA is filed under the name Aeromonas salmonicida. RNAcentral's name for it is "partial 16S ribosomal RNA". It matches the Rfam family "Bacterial small subunit ribosomal RNA", at positions 358 to 583 of the family's 1533-position model. The record is from RNAcentral. Lineage: Bacteria; Pseudomonadati; Pseudomonadota; Gammaproteobacteria; Aeromonadales; Aeromonadaceae.